Molecule: ribosomal RNA, 253 nt
Filed under: uncultured [Caedibacter] sp.
Lineage: Bacteria; Pseudomonadati; Pseudomonadota; Alphaproteobacteria; Holosporales
Description: partial 16S ribosomal RNA
Rfam family: Bacterial small subunit ribosomal RNA
Source: RNAcentral
GACGGAGGGGGCUAGCGUUGUUCGGAAUGACUGGGCGUAAAGGGCGUGUAGGCGGUUGAUCAAGUCAGGCGUGAAAGCCCCGGGCUUAACCCGGGAACUGCGCUUGAUACUGGUUGACUUGAGGACGAGAGAGGAAAGCGGAAUUCCGAGUGUAGAGGUGAAAUUCGUAGAUAUUCGGAGGAACAUCAGAGGCGAAGGCGGCUUUCUGGCUCGUAUCUGACGCUGAGGCGCGAAAGCGUGGGGAGCAAACAGG